AUGAACGCUGGCGGCGUGCCUAACCCAUGCAAGUCGAGCGGCAGCGAGGGGUGCUUGCACCCUGUCGGCGAGCGGCGGACGGCUGAGUAACGCGUGGGAACGUGCCCCAAAGUGAGGAAUAACUGCCCGAAAGGGUAGCUAAUACCGCAUAUUAUCUUCGGAUCAAAGGAUUUAUCCGCUUUGGGAGCGGCUCGCGUCGGAUUAGGUAGUUGGUGAGGUAAUGGCUCACCAAGCCGACGAUCCGUAGCUGGUCUGAGAGGAUGACCAGCCAGACUGGAACUGAGACACGGUCCAGACUCCUACGGGAGGCAGCAGUGAGGAAUCUUCCACAAUGGGCGAAAGCCUGAUGGAGCAACGCCGCGUGCAGGACGAAGGCCUUCGGGUUGUAAACUGCUUUUAUAAGUGAGGAAUAUGACGGUAACUUAUGAAUAAGGAUCGGCUAACUACGUG
This 450-nucleotide ribosomal RNA is filed under the name uncultured bacterium. RNAcentral's name for it is "partial 16S ribosomal RNA". It matches the Rfam family "Bacterial small subunit ribosomal RNA", at positions 29 to 507 of the family's 1533-position model. The record is from RNAcentral.